This 352-nucleotide unclassified non-coding RNA is filed under the name soil metagenome. Its description in RNAcentral is "partial contains 5.8S ribosomal RNA, internal transcribed spacer 2, and large subunit ribosomal RNA". The stretch from base 1 to 120 matches the Rfam family "5.8S ribosomal RNA", at positions 35 to 154 of the family's 154-position model. The record is from RNAcentral.
GAUGAAGAACGUAGCGAAAUGCGAUAAGUAAUGUGAAUUGCAGAAUUCAGUGAAUCAUCGAAUCUUUGAACGCACAUUGCGCCCGCCAGUAUUCUGGCGGGCAUGCCUGUUCGAGCGUCAUUACAACCCUCAGGCCCCCGGGCCUGGCGUUGGAGAUCGGCGGAGCCCCCCGUGGGCACACGCCGUCCCCCAAAUGCAGUGGCGGUCCCGCCGCAGCUUCCAUCGCGUAGUAGCUAACACCUCGCGACUGGAGAGCGGCGCGGCCACGCCGUAAAACACCCAACUCUUCUGAAGUUGACCUCGAAUCAGGUAGGAAUACCCGCUGAACUUAAGCAUAUCAAUAAGCGGAGGA